RNAcentral lists this ribosomal RNA (644 nucleotides) under uncultured organism. RNAcentral's name for it is "SSU rRNA". It matches the Rfam family "Bacterial small subunit ribosomal RNA", at positions 838 to 1482 of the family's 1533-position model. The record is from RNAcentral.
CGUGGCUUCCGGAGCUAACGCGUUAAGUCGACCGCCUGGGGAGUACGGCCGCAAGGUUAAAACUCAAAUGAAUUGACGGGGGCCCGCACAAGCGGUGGAGCAUGUGGUUUAAUUCGAUGCAACGCGAAGAACCUUACCUGGUCUUGACAUCCACGGAAGUUUUCAGAGAUGAGAAUGUGCCUUCGGGAACCGUGAGACAGGUGCUGCAUGGCUGUCGUCAGCUCGUGUUGUGAAAUGUUGGGUUAAGUCCCGCAACGAGCGCAACCCUUAUCCUUUGUUGCCAGCGGUCCGGCCGGGAACUCAAAGGAGACUGCCAGUGAUAAACUGGAGGAAGGUGGGGAUGACGUCAAGUCAUCAUGGCCCUUACGACCAGGGCUACACACGUGCUACAAUGGCGCAUACAAAGAGAAGCGACCUCGCGAGAGCAAGCGGACCUCAUAAAGUGCGUCGUAGUCCGGAUUGGAGUCUGCAACUCGACUCCAUGAAGUCGGAAUCGCUAGUAAUCGUGGAUCAGAAUGCCACGGUGAAUACGUUCCCGGGCCUUGUACACACCGCCCGUCACACCAUGGGAGUGGGUUGCAAAAGAAGUAGGUAGCUUAACCUUCGGGAGGGCGCUUACCACUUUGUGAUUCAUGACUGGGGUG